Molecule: long non-coding RNA, 899 nt
Organism: Peromyscus maniculatus bairdii (prairie deer mouse)
Lineage: Eukaryota; Metazoa; Chordata; Mammalia; Rodentia; Cricetidae
Source: RefSeq, a predicted model, not a curated record
CCCACUUCCUCCAUAUCAGUGGUUUUCCUACAGAUCUUCAGGACUUGGCUCCCCAGGAUCUGGUGCUCCUGGGCACAGAAGUGCUUCACUUGGGCCCUGGGCCCUGCAGCCUGGGUGUCUCACAGCAUGGACACUCAUGGUGGGUGCCAUCUGAACAAGGUGAACCUGGGAAAAUCUUGGGCUCUGCUGAGCAGUUCAGAGAGGCAGCCCAUAAGUCUUGCACUCUCAAGGAACUUCCCAGGAUGACAGCUGGCCUAGGACCCAGAGAAAGAGGAGAAAACCCCAUAGAGUUCAUCCACCUGGGAGAGAUGUCAAAGCCAGCACCUGCAGCCUGCUGGACUGCAAGACAUAGGCUUCUGGGACCACAGAACAACUGGGGAAGGCAUGGCGUGGCAGCAGAAGCAGGAAGCUGCCUGGUAACAUUUCAUCUGUGCACAGGAAGCGUGAGCAGAAAGUGGACUGAGGCUAUAAGCCAUCAAAUCCCCCCAGCAGCAAUGUGCUUCUUCCAACAGACUCCACCUCCUAAAGGUUCCAUACCCUUCCCAAACAGUGCCACCUAGGAGGAACCAAGUGUUCAUUCAAAUAGGAUGGUUAGUGUUCAAUGUCAACUUGACAGACUCUGGACUCAGCUGGGAAGAGAGCCUUUAGGCCUGCGUGGGAAUUACCUUGAUUUCAUUAAUUGAGAUAAAAUGACCUACCCAGGUGUCAUGCCCUGGCUGGGGCCCGGGACUGUGUAACUGGAGAGAGGAAGCUGAGGAGCAGCAGUAAUUCAGCACUCUCUGCUUCCUGUUUGUGGACAUCAUGUGACCAGCUGCUUCAAGCUGCUGCUGUCUCCACAGUCCUGACAUGAUGGACUGUAGCUGGGAACUGGAAACCAGAAUAAACUGUUUCUUCCUUAA